AUUGAACGCUGGCGGCAGGCCUAACACAUGCAAGUCGAGCGGAUGAAGGGAGCUUGCUCCUGGAUUCAGCGGCGGACGGGUGAGUAAUGCCUAGGAAUCUGCCUGGUAGUGGGGGAUAACGUCCGGAAACGGGCGCUAAUACCGCAUACGUCCUGAGGGAGAAAGUGGGGGAUCUUCGGACCUUACGCUAUCAGAUGAGCCUAGGUCGGAUUAGCUAGUUGGUGGGGUAAAGGCCUACCAAGGCGACGAUCCGUAACUGGUCUGAGAGGAUGAUCGGUCACACUGGAGCUGAGACACGGUCCAGACUCCUACGGGAGGCAGCAGUGGGGAAUAUUGGACAAUGGGCGAAAGCCUGAUCCAGCCAUGCCGCGUGUGUGAAGAAGGUCUUCGGAUUGUAAAGCACUUUAAGUUGGGAGGAAGGGCAGUAAGUUAAUACCUUGCUGUUUUGACGUUACCAACAGAAUAAGCACCGGCUAACUUCGUG
Molecule: ribosomal RNA, 484 nt
Filed under: uncultured bacterium
Lineage: Bacteria
Description: partial 16S ribosomal RNA
Rfam family: Bacterial small subunit ribosomal RNA
Source: RNAcentral